GACGAACGCUGGCGGCGUGCCUAAUACAUGCAAGUAGAACGCACAGUUUAUACCGUAGCUUGCUACACCAUAGACUGUGAGUUGCGAACGGGUGAGUAACGCGUAGGUAACCUGCCUGGUAGCGGGGGAUAACUAUUGGAAACGAUAGCUAAUACCGCAUAAUCUUGAUUAUUGCAUGAUAAUUGAUUGAAAGAUGCUAUUGCAUCACUACCAGAUGGACCUGCGUUGUAUUAGCUAGUAGGUGAGGUAACGGAUCACCUAGGCGACGAUACAUAGCCGACCUGAGAGGGUGAUCGGCCACACUGGGACUGAGACACGGCCCAGACUCCUUCGGGAGGCAGCAGUAGGGAAUCUUCGGCAAUGGACGAAAGUCUGACCGAGCAACGCCGCGUGAGGGAAGAAGGUUCUCGGAUCGGAAAGCUCUGUUGUAAGAGAAGAACGGGUGUGAGAGUGGAAAGUUCACACUGUGACGGUAUCUUACCAGAAAGGGACGGCUAACUACGUG
RNAcentral lists this ribosomal RNA (505 nucleotides) under uncultured bacterium. RNAcentral describes it as "partial 16S ribosomal RNA". It matches the Rfam family "Bacterial small subunit ribosomal RNA", at positions 28 to 507 of the family's 1533-position model. The record is from RNAcentral.